AAAAAUGUUGACUGGAGAUGGAGAUGGUCAAAUGAAUGAUUUAGUUUGCUGCUAUUAUCAUUGGAACUGCGAUUGGUUUAAACGUGGUAAGUGGAGUUAGUUGAGCCAGUCCUCAGAGUGUUGUCAUAACCGAAAGGUAACCUCAAACAGAUUACUUCUUUGGUUGUGAAGAUCGUGUGAUUUUGGAAUAAGAAGUCUGGGCUGAGAUUCCUUUCGUUUGAGUCUCUCGACUGCGGCUUCUUCUGAGCUGAUGUGGGUGGGGCAAGGUUCCGUGGCUUGGUUGUAACUCCGUCAUUCCAUCGCGUCAAGAGAUAGUCGUUUUUACGCGGUCACGGAUUUGCAAAUGAGUGGGAUUUGCCAUCUCCGACGUUAGUUGCAGAUCCGUCACACACGUACAUACACUGCGUUUCUCCCUGUUAUUUUGAUCUUAAUCGCCGCCUCCCUGUUAUUUUGCUCUUAAUCGCAAAGGCAUGUUUAGAACCAUUAAACCUUUUCUGUUACUUUGGAUAUUUAGAUUUUUGA
Molecule: long non-coding RNA, 522 nt
Organism: Helianthus annuus (common sunflower)
Lineage: Eukaryota; Viridiplantae; Streptophyta; Magnoliopsida; Asterales; Asteraceae
Exons: 3
Source: RefSeq, a predicted model, not a curated record